Camelus dromedarius (Arabian camel) is the source of this 642-nucleotide long non-coding RNA. RefSeq lists it as uncharacterized. The record is from RefSeq and is a predicted model, not a curated record. The transcript has 2 exons. NCBI's taxonomy places the organism in Eukaryota, Metazoa, Chordata, Mammalia, Artiodactyla, Camelidae.
AGGUGUCAGGGUGGGUUGUCCUGCACAGAGAGGCUUCCUGUUUGGGAGGUCCUACUUUAUCAAUUUGCUGGAACCUCUGUACAUCAUCUCAGGCAGGACUCUCGCCUUCCUCCACUUACAGACACCGGCAGUGUCAUGUGGCAACAGUGUUUUAUCCCCAAGGUCGAGUGUGUGGCCCUGUUCUGCUGUCUGGGCACCCGGUGGAGGGGAGGGUGCCCUGUGCUGACAGCUGCUGCAUUGGGUUUCAGGUUCUGUAGGUGUUGUUCCUUUUGUCUGUCAUCCAACACAGCUCUCUCUUCUGUUCUGCAGGUCACUGUGGAUUCCCGAUGUCCCGGUACUUGUGCAGGACCACUUGGUGUGCCUCACCCGAUGGAACACCCAGCAUCACUUCUCAGAGGCUAUUCAUCACCACCACCCCCACCUCUGUUGUGGCCUAUGUGGUCUCACCCACCGCCACCACCACCACCACCAGUUACAGCACUCGCACAGUCCAUUUGCCACAUGAAGGGGCCCCUCAGCUGUGGCAAUGAUGUGUUUAGAGAAGAUGUCAGAGGUGCAUUACGGCCCGAAUGUUUCCCUGCUCCAACCUGCCCCCUCUGCUGUUCUCUCCUAUUGUCACCCCUAAUGAAAUUGUCACAGUUC